CGGAGAAUGUUAUCACGGGAGACACACGGCGGGUGCUAACGUCCGUCGUGAAGAGGGAAACAACCCAGACCGCCAGCUAAGGUCCCAAAGUCAUGGUUAAGUGGGAAACGAUGUGGGAAGGCCCAGACAGCCAGGAUGUUGGCUUAGAAGCAGCCAUCAUUUAAAGAAAGCGUAAUAGCUCACUGGUCGAGUCGGCCUGCGCGGAAGAUGUAACGGGGCUAAACCAUGCACCGAAGCUGCGGCAGCGACGCUGAUGCGUUGUUGGGUAGGGGAGCGUUCUGUAAGCCUGUGAAGGUGGCCUGUGAGGGUUGCUGGAGGUAUCAGAAGUGCGAAUGCUGACAUAAGUAACGAUAAAGCGGGUGAAAAGCCCGCUCGCCGGAAGACCAAGGGUUCCUGUCCAACGUUAAUCGGGGCAGGGUGAGUCGACCCCUAAGGCGAGGCCGAAAGGCGUAGUCGAUGGGAAACGGGUUAAUAUUCCCGUACUUGGUGUUACUGCGAAGGGGGGACGG
Molecule: ribosomal RNA, 509 nt
Filed under: Salmonella enterica subsp. enterica serovar Oranienburg
Lineage: Bacteria; Pseudomonadati; Pseudomonadota; Gammaproteobacteria; Enterobacterales; Enterobacteriaceae
Also listed under: 1 other name
Description: bacterial LSU rRNA
Rfam family: Bacterial large subunit ribosomal RNA
Source: RNAcentral